This 460-nucleotide ribosomal RNA is filed under the name uncultured Bacteroidota bacterium. RNAcentral describes it as "uncultured Bacteroidetes bacterium partial 16S ribosomal RNA". The record is from RNAcentral. Lineage: Bacteria; Pseudomonadati; Bacteroidota.
GACUACAGGGGUAUCUAAGCCUGUUCGCUCCCCACGCUUUCGUGCAUCAGCGUCAGUAAUGGCCCAGUAAGCUGCCUUCGCAAUCGGUGUUCUGUGUAAUAUCUAAGCAUUUCACCGCUACAUUACACAUUCCGCCUACCUUGACCGUACUCAAGACUAACAGUAUCAAUGGCAGUUCUCCAGUUAAGCUGAAGGUUUUCACCACUGACUUAUUAAUCCGCCUACGCACCCUUUAAACCCAAUAAAUCCGGAUAACGCUCGCAUCCUCCGUAUUACCGCGGCUGCUGGCACGGAGUUAGCCGAUGCUUAUUCCCAAAGUACCUUCAGUUCUGUACUCGUACAAAAUUUUAUUCCUCUGGAAAAGAAGUUUACGACGCAUAGCGCCUUCUUCCUUCACGCGGGAUGGCUGGUUCAGGCUUACGCCCAUUGACCAAUAUUCCUCACUGCAGCCCCCCGUAGG